This 179-nucleotide ribosomal RNA is filed under the name uncultured bacterium. Its description in RNAcentral is "partial 16S ribosomal RNA". It matches the Rfam family "Bacterial small subunit ribosomal RNA", at positions 1314 to 1500 of the family's 1533-position model. The record is from RNAcentral.
GACUCCGUGAAGCUGGAUUCGCUAGUAAUCGCGCAUCAGCCAUGGCGCGGUGAAUACGUUCCCGGGCCUUGUACACACCGCCCGUCAAGCCAUGGGAGCCGGGGGCACUUGAAGUACGCCGCCGCGAGGAGCGUCCUAGAGUGAAACUGGUGACUGGGGCUAAGUCGUAACAAGGUAAC